This 467-nucleotide ribosomal RNA is filed under the name uncultured bacterium. RNAcentral describes it as "partial 16S ribosomal RNA". It matches the Rfam family "Bacterial small subunit ribosomal RNA", at positions 29 to 507 of the family's 1533-position model. The record is from RNAcentral.
ACGAACGCUGGCGGCGUGCUUAACACAUGCCAGUCGAACGGAAAGGCCCUGCUUUUGUGGGGUGCUCGAGUGGCGAACGGGUGAGUAACACGUGAGUAACCUGCCCUUGACUUUGGGAUAACUUCAGGAAACUGGGGCUAAUACCGGAUAGGAGCUCCUGCUGCAUGGUGGGGGUUGGAAAGUUUCGGCGGUUGGGGAUGGACUCGCGGCUUGUCAGCUUGUUGGUGGGGUAGUGGCUUACCAAGGCUUUGACGGGUAGCCGGCCUGAGAGGGUGACCGGCCACAUUGGGACUGAGAUACGGCCCAGACUCCUACGGGAGGCAGCAGUGGGGAAUAUUGCACAAUGGGCGGAAGCCUGAUGCAGCAACGCCGCGUGCGGGAUGACGGCCUUCGGGUUGUAAACCGCUUUCGCCUGUGACGAAGCGUGAGUGACGGUAAUGGGUAAAGAAGCACCGGCUAACUACGUG